Molecule: ribosomal RNA, 476 nt
Filed under: uncultured bacterium
Lineage: Bacteria
Description: partial 16S ribosomal RNA
Rfam family: Bacterial small subunit ribosomal RNA
Source: RNAcentral
AGUGAACGCUGGCGGCGUGCUUAACACAUGCAAGUCGAACGGAUGAAAUAAGCUUGCUUAUUUCGUUAGUGGCGCACGGGUGAGUAAUGUAUAGCUAACCUGCCCUUUAGUGGGGGACAACAGUUGGAAACGACUGCUAAUACCCCAUACUCCUUCUUAUCUUAAGAUAAGUUGGGAAAGAUUUAUUGCUAAAGGAUGGGGCUUUAUGGUAUCAGCUAGUUGGUGGGGUAACGGCCUACCAAGGCGAUGACGCCUACCUGGUCUGAGAGGAUGAUCAGGCACACAGGAACUGAGACACGGUCCAGACUCCUACGGGAGGCAGCAGUGGGGAAUAUUGCACAAUGGAGGAAACUCUGAUGCAGCAACGCCGCGUGGAGGAUGACGCAUUUCGGUGUGUAAACUCCUUUUAUAAGGGAAGAUAAUGACGGUACCUUAUGAAUAAGCACCGGCUAACUCCGUGCCAGCAGCCGCCGUAA